This 253-nucleotide ribosomal RNA is filed under the name uncultured bacterium. RNAcentral's name for it is "partial 16S ribosomal RNA". It matches the Rfam family "Bacterial small subunit ribosomal RNA", at positions 524 to 776 of the family's 1533-position model. The record is from RNAcentral.
UACGUAGGGGGCAAGCGUUGUCCGGAAUCAUUGGGCGUAAAGCGCGUGUAGGCGGCUCGGUAAGUCCGCUCUGAAAGUCCAGGGCUCAACCCUGGGAUGCGGGUGGAUACUGCCGGGCUCGAGUCCGGAAGAGGCGAGUGGAAUUCCCGGUGUAGCGGUGAAAUGCGCAGAUAUUGGGAGGAACACCAGUGGCGAAGGCGGCUCACUGGACCGGUACUGACGCUGAUGCGCGAAAGCGUGGGGAGCAAACGGG